Camelus ferus (Wild Bactrian camel) is the source of this 72-nucleotide transfer RNA. It matches the Rfam family "tRNA". Rfam says of the family: Transfer RNA (tRNA) molecules are approximately 80 nucleotides in length. The record is from Rfam. NCBI's taxonomy places the organism in Eukaryota, Metazoa, Chordata, Mammalia, Artiodactyla, Camelidae.
AGGAGUAUAGCUCAGUGGUAGAGCACGUGCUUGGCAUGCAUGAGGUCCUGGGUUCAAUCCCCAGUACCCCUG